Molecule: ribosomal RNA, 247 nt
Filed under: uncultured bacterium
Lineage: Bacteria
Description: partial 16S ribosomal RNA
Rfam family: Bacterial small subunit ribosomal RNA
Source: RNAcentral
AUACGGGGGGUGCAAGCGUUGUCCGGAAUCAUUGGGCGUAAAGCGUUCGUAGGCGGCAAGGUAAGUCAGAUGUUAAAGCCCGGGGCUCAACUCCGGUUCGGCAUUUGAUACUAUCUAGCUAGAAUGCGGUAGAGGUAAAGGGAAUUCCUGGUGUAGCGGUGAAAUGCGUAGAUAUCAGGAGGAACAUCGGUGGCGAAAGCGCUUUACUGGGCCGUUAUUGACGCUGAGGAACGAAAGCCAGGGGAGC